GCAUGCUUGUUGCAGGACAGUGUUGGUCCAACAACUGGUCAGUGACAGAGGAGAGGGAGCAACGUUAAAGCACAUGAAAUAAGUGCAAGCAGCAGCAACGAAUGAAGAAGUAACCGGGUCCCAGGCAGCUGCUGACACGCACAGGAGCACAGGCUGCUGGAGAUUUUCACUGCCAGGGAUCUGGCAGCAAUCACACUAAAUGUUGUGAGCUGUUGACAGCUGAAGAUGAGCAGCUUAGGCAGAAGGAGAAAUCCUCUGGACUUACAUCUCUUCACAGAAAUGCAAUCAUUCAACAGCGGGCCUAAGUAGAAGAGCCAAGCACCAGGUCUUUCAAGAUAGUAUUCUAAAUGAAACUUGAGAUACCAUUCCAUGAAAAGCUUCAAGAUCUUUGGGAUAAACAGUAUUCUUUAGGAUAUAAAUACUUAUUUUCCUAUAUGAAAAACUUCAUGCAUUGUUUGCCCUGUCAGAAAUGUUUUUGUGGCAACUCCUGGACUGCCUUUCCUAAUGAUAUAGAAAAAUAAAAUUAAAAAUAAAAAAUGC
Long non-coding RNA from Cygnus olor (mute swan), 540 nucleotides. RefSeq lists it as uncharacterized. The record is from RefSeq and is a predicted model, not a curated record. The transcript has 2 exons. Lineage: Eukaryota; Metazoa; Chordata; Aves; Anseriformes; Anatidae.